Molecule: ribosomal RNA, 497 nt
Filed under: uncultured bacterium
Lineage: Bacteria
Description: partial 16S ribosomal RNA
Rfam family: Bacterial small subunit ribosomal RNA
Source: RNAcentral
GAGGAACGCUGGCGGCGUGCCUAAUACAUGCAAGUCGAGCGAACGGACGAGAAGCUUGCUUUUCUGAUGUUAGCGGCGGACGGGUGAGUAACACGUGGAUAACCUACCUAUAAGACUGGGAUAACUUCGGGAAACCGGAGCUAAUACCGGAUAAUAUUUUGAACCGCAUGGUUCAAAAGUGAAAGACGGUCUUGCUGUCACUUAUAGAUGGAUCCGCGCUGCAUUAGCUAGUUGGUAAGGUAACGGCUUACCAAGGCAACGAUGCAUAGCCGACCUGAGAGGGUGAUCGGCCACACUGGAACUGAGACACGGUCCAGACUCCUACGGGAGGCAGCAGUAGGGAAUCUUCCGCAAUGGGCGAAAGCCUGACGGAGCAACGCCGCGUGAGUGAUGAAGGUCUUCGGAUCGUAAAACUCUGUUAUUAGGGAAGAACAUAUGUGUAAGUAACUGUGCACAUCUUGACGGUACCUAAUCAGAAAGCCACGGCUAACUACGUG